Molecule: long non-coding RNA, 382 nt
Filed under: Phoenix dactylifera (date palm)
Lineage: Eukaryota; Viridiplantae; Streptophyta; Magnoliopsida; Arecales; Arecaceae
Description: long non-coding RNA (PDAC_LNC000790)
Source: RNAcentral
GAUGCCUGUUAAAUUAUUUUCUUUGUGAUAGUUUUAUAAACUCUGCCUUUUUAUUUCUGUUCAAUUGUAUGUGGCGCCCCUGCUCAUGUGAGUCGAGAACGACCUCUCGAGGCAAGUAAAUCACAUUGGCAAGGUAUAACUCCUGAUCUGUAAGUCUGUAACAUGAAGUUUCGAGGAAAUGCAUGUCUCUCUUACAUUUUAAUUACUUCGCAAUCUAAAACUUGAGGCUGUUCUCUUCUUAGCAUUCAUGCUAGCAUCUCUUCAAGAUUAUCUUUGAAGGGACUAUUUUUUUUAAGUUUCUACACUACUAUAACAUGUUCAUAUAAAUGAAGCAGUGUCUUUCCUCUCGUCUUUAUCAGCUAUAUGUAGAAAGACAAACUAG